UUUCACCAUGUUGCCUGGUUCUCAAACUCCUAGGCUCGAGUAAUCCACCCACCUUCGCUCCCAAAGUGGUGGGAUUACAGAUGUGAGCCACCACAACCAGCCCAUAUAUACAUAUGUAACAUAUACAUACACAUAUAUCUAUGCACACAAAUUAACAUAAUAUGUAUAUAUGUGCAUAAAUUAACAUUUUCUAUAUAAAGAUGGCAAGAGAGGCAGGCAGAGAAAGAAUCAGUUGCAGUCUGGAGGAAUAUACGUGUGUUAAUUGGUUUCUCUGGCUUUAAAUUCUCUGUUAAUCUAUAUUCCUGUAAAGUAGAUGAUAGCAUGUAUCUUGGCCUAUAUGUUUCUAAAGACAAACCUCUAAGCUCUUAAAGUUCUGCCAUGGUGUGUGUCAUGGUACAUUUAAGUCAGAAAGCCCAUUAGAGGAGGAGGAUGCCUGGCUAGAAUAGCUAGAAUAGUGUUCUUGAGUUUUUCCAUGUGUGUUGUCUCAGGUAGGAAGAUGACAAGUCCUAUUUUGUUCUUGUGUGAUUCCUCAUCAUUCAGUCCCUGCAGGCUGAGCUUGUUAAUGGUGGUGAACAUGAGUUUUGUUCUUUGCCAGGAGUGCCCACCAGUGCCCAUAACGCCCUCCCGGAAUGUGCUGGGCAGUGUGUUUAGGGUAAGACUGACUAAUGACCCUACACUGAGAAUGGCCUCAGCACAAACCCAAAAGGCUCUGCUGGAGCUCAGAGGCAGCCACGAGAUUUGGAGAGCUGGAUGACGGUUCACUAAGAGAAUUCAAGCUGUCAGUCCUCCUGCGUACCCUUUGGAUUCUAUUCUGAUGCUGUUGCUUGUAGAGGGAAAAAGUUCAUGUGCCAUUUAUAUACAAGUGCCCAUUUGACAUUGAGUGAGUCACAUUUAUUUUGCCCUAUAUGAAUAUAAAAUCUGUUUUAAAAUCGGAUUCUAGAACUUUAAAAGGGUUCUUAUGUAUUUUUCUGAAGUAACUCAGUGACCAUAGGUGAGCCCGCCCCACCUGGCCUGGUGGGUGACCCUUUUCCUGCCCCCUCACCGGUUCUGCUCCUUGCUCCUCUCUCUGCGCCUUGGCUCCCCUUUCCGGAACCCUUCCUCUUGGCCUUGCCAAAUCCUGCCCAUCCUUUGAGAACCUCUUAUGCCCAUGGCUGUCUUACCCCUUCCUGCUUUGCUGUGGUAUCCGUUGGUCUGUUCUCGUGCUGCUAAUAAAGACAUACAGGAGACUGGGUAAUUUAUAAAGGAAAGAGGUUUAAUGGACUCACACUUCCACAUGGCUGGGGGGGCCUCACAAUCAUGGUGGAAGAUGAAGGAAGAGCAAAGGGACUUUUUACAUGGCGGCAGGAAAGAGAGCUUGUGCGGGGGAACUCCCAUUUAUAAAACCAUCAUAUCUCAUGAGACUUACUCACUACCAUGGGAACAGUAUGGGGGAACCACCCCCAUGAUUCAAUUAUCUCUACCUGGCCCCGCCCUUGACACGUGGGGAUUAUUACAAUUCAAGGUGAGAUUUGGGGACACAGAUUUGGGCUGUGGGGACACAGCCAAUCGAUACCUGGCAUAUGCAAUCUGAUCACCCCUUCCAAACUUCUCUCUUAAAAAUGCAACACUCUGACAGCAUGUGGAGGCUUGGAUGGAAACAUGGUAAAAAUUAAGAUGUUGUUUCUCACACUUUCGCACCAAAGUGAUACAAAUCCCAGAGCUGAGGCAACUAGUGUUUCUGCCAGAAUGGAAGGUCCUUGACAUUUUCUGUUGUUUUUAAAUAUUUGCAACUAUUUAUUGUUCUUCCGUAAAAACCAGAAUUUGUGGUUGUGUAUAUAAAAGUAAUGUUCUAAAGUG
Mandrillus leucophaeus (drill) is the source of this 1836-nucleotide long non-coding RNA. RefSeq lists it as uncharacterized. The record is from RefSeq and is a predicted model, not a curated record. The transcript is spliced from 2 exons. Lineage: Eukaryota; Metazoa; Chordata; Mammalia; Primates; Cercopithecidae.